Molecule: long non-coding RNA, 382 nt
Organism: Bombus impatiens (common eastern bumble bee)
Lineage: Eukaryota; Metazoa; Arthropoda; Insecta; Hymenoptera; Apidae
Exons: 2
Source: RefSeq, a predicted model, not a curated record
AAAUAAUAAUCACAGUUCCAUCUUUUAAAGUUUUUUGAAAUUAUAUAAUUAUUAUAUAUGCUAUAGUUUAUAUAUGAAAUCGUGAAAAUGACAACACUCGUGCCAAUCCUGUGGACUUUCUCUGUAAAAAAACAUACUUCGUUUAUUUUGAUUUUGUAAUUAUCAGGAGGGUGAACGUAUACUUUAGACUUAACUUUAGAAAUGGCGUUCGAACAUCCAUUUGCUUGCAGAUUAGAUUGGCAUGAAUCAUUAACUUUUCGAGUACAUAUUUAAUGUAAGAUAAAUUUUGAGUGCUCCUCGAAACCUUUUUCGCGGUUUUACAAAUUGUAAUGACUCCUCCUAUUUUGAGAAUUUUCAUUUUCAUUAUUGGUUUUAACAAAAA